UACGGAGGAUCCAAGCGUUAUCCGGAUUUAUUGGGUUUAAAGGGUGCGUAGGCGGCCUGUUAAGUCAGGGGUGAAAUUUUUCGGCUCAACCGGAAGCUUGCCUUUGAUACUGAUGGGCUUGAUUACACUUGAGGUAGGCGGAAUGUGACAAGUAGCGGUGACAUGCGUAGAUAUGUCACAGAACACCAAUUGCGAAGGCAGCUUACUUUGGUGUUAAUGCCGCUGAGGCUCGUAAGCGUGGGGAUCAAUCUGG
This 253-nucleotide ribosomal RNA is filed under the name uncultured bacterium. RNAcentral describes it as "partial 16S ribosomal RNA". It matches the Rfam family "Bacterial small subunit ribosomal RNA", at positions 524 to 776 of the family's 1533-position model. The record is from RNAcentral.